RNAcentral lists this unclassified non-coding RNA (498 nucleotides) under uncultured Glomus. RNAcentral describes it as "SSU rRNA". It matches the Rfam family "Eukaryotic small subunit ribosomal RNA", at positions 591 to 1092 of the family's 1831-position model. Lineage: Eukaryota; Fungi; Glomeromycota; Glomeromycetes; Glomerales; Glomeraceae. The record is from RNAcentral.
CCAAUAGCGUAUAUUAAAGUUGUUGCAGUUAAAAAGCUCGUAGUUGAAUUUCGGGAUCAGUACGCUGGUCGUGCCUUCGGUAUGUACUGGUGUUACUGGUUCCUACCUUCUGACGAACCGUCAUGUCAUUAAUUUGGUGUGGCGGGAAAUCAGGACUGUUACUUUGAAAAAAUUAGAGGGUUUAAAGCAGGCUCGCGCUUGAAUACAUUAGCAUGAAAUAAUGAAAUAGGACGUUCGAUCCUAUUUUGUUGGUUUCUAGGAUUGACGUAAUGAUUAAUAGGGAUAGUUGGGGGCAUUAGUAUUCAAUUGUCAGAGGUGAAAUUCUUGGAUUUAUUGAAGACUAACUACUGCGAAAGCAUGUGCCAAGGAUGUUUUCAUUAAUCAAGAACGAAAGUUAGGGGAUCGAAGACGAUCAGAUACCGUCGUAGUCUUAACCAUAAACUAUGCCGACUAGGGAUCGGAUGAUGUUAUUUUUAAUGACUCAUUCGGCGCCUUACG